UGGGGAAUAUUGGACAAUGGGCGCAAGCCUGAUCCAGCCAUGCCGCGUGAGUGAUGAAGGCCCUAGGGUUGUAAAGCUCUUUCACCGGUGAAGAUAAUGACGGUAACCGGAGAAGAAGCCCCGGCUAACUUCGUGCCAGCAGCCGCGGUAAUACGAAGGGGGCUAGCGUUGUUCGGAUUUACUGGGCGUAAAGGGUGCGUAGGUGGUCCUUCAAGUCGGUGGUUAAAGGCUACGGCUCAACCGUAGUAAGCCGCCGAAACUGGAGGACUUGAGUGCAGGAGAGGAAAGUGGAAUUCCCAGUGUAGCGGUGAAAUGCGUAGAUAUUGGGAGGAACACCAGUAGCGAAGGCGGCUUUCUGGACUGCAACUGACACUGAGGCACGAAAGCGUGGGUAGCAAACAGG
RNAcentral lists this ribosomal RNA (403 nucleotides) under Verrucomicrobiota bacterium. Its description in RNAcentral is "Verrucomicrobia bacterium partial 16S ribosomal RNA". It matches the Rfam family "Bacterial small subunit ribosomal RNA", at positions 355 to 776 of the family's 1533-position model. Lineage: Bacteria; Pseudomonadati; Verrucomicrobiota. The record is from RNAcentral.